This 460-nucleotide ribosomal RNA is filed under the name uncultured bacterium. RNAcentral describes it as "partial 16S ribosomal RNA". It matches the Rfam family "Bacterial small subunit ribosomal RNA", at positions 338 to 795 of the family's 1533-position model. The record is from RNAcentral.
CCUACGGGAGGCUGCAGUGAGGAAUAUUGGUCAAUGGGCGCGAGCCUGAACCAGCCAAGUAGCGUGAAGGAUGACUGCCCUACGGGUUGUAAACUUCUUUUAUAAAGGAAUAAAGUGAGUCACGUGUGCCUUUUUGUAUGUACUUUAUGUAUAAGGAUCGGCCAACGCCGUGCCAGCAGCCGCGGUAAUACGGUGGAUCCGAGCGUUAUCCGGAUUUAUUGGGUUUAACGGGAGCGUAGAUGGGUUGUUAAGUCAGUUGUGAAAGUUUGCGGCUCAACCGUAAAAUUGCAAUUGAUACUGGCAGCCUGGAGUACAGUUGAGGUAGGCGGAAUUCGUGGUGUAGCGGUGAAAUGCGUAGAUAUCACGAAGAACACCGAUGGCGAAGGCAGCUUACUAAACUGCCACUGACAUUGAUGCUCGAAAGUGUGGGUAUCAAACAGGAUUAGAUACCCCUGUAGUC